AAGUCCGGCAACGAGCGCAACCCCUGUCCUUAGUUACCAUCAUUAAGUUGGGGACGUCUAGGGAGACUGCCGGUGUUAAACCGGAGGAAGGCGGGGAUGACGUCAAGUCCUCAUGGCUCUUACGGGAAGGGCUACACACGUACUACAAUGGUAGAAACAAAGGGUUGCGAAACCGCGAGGUCAAGCUAAUCCCUAAAACACUAUCUCAGUCCGGAUUGGAGUCUGCAACUCGACUCCAUGAAGUUGGAAUCGCUAGUAAUCGGAGAUCAGCACGCUCCGGUGAAUACGUUCCCGGGCCUU
Molecule: ribosomal RNA, 300 nt
Filed under: uncultured bacterium
Lineage: Bacteria
Description: bacterial SSU rRNA
Rfam family: Bacterial small subunit ribosomal RNA
Source: RNAcentral